AGAAGUGUUUGGGCCGGUUUUGGGGUGUUUUUUUCGGGCUCGAUGAAAACACCCGAAAACACCUCAAAACACUUCUGGCCUGUUCGGUAGGCCGGUUUUGGCCUGUUUAGGCCCGACGAAACCCGCCGAAACUCGUCGGGCCGGGGUGGAUCCAAAACGCGCCCCUCCCCUCGCGUUUCUGUCGGGCGGCUGGCGAUGAGAGGGCGACGCCUGCGACGAGGGAGGAAGACCACGCCGCCGCCGCUCCAAGACCACGCCGCCGCCGACGCUGGAAGACGACGCCGCACCGGCUUCCCCUCUCAGGAUGCCUUCAAUUGGCGUCUGAAUUCUGAAGCUAGCAUCUGCACCCGGCUGGACUCUAGCGCCGCGCGCAGCUCGUUCGGUGAACCAACCAGCUGGGGAAGACAGGGACACGCAGCUUACUCUUUACGUAUCUUAUCUCGCUAAAUACCUCGCUAAAUACCUGUGGCUAAUGUGGUUCUUGUGCUAGGGAUCUUUGUCUACAGAUAUAUGUGUUUCCUGGCAGGAAACAAGUUGCUUGGACUGAUUUGGCAGGAAACAAGUUGCUUGGACUGAUUUUCUUGUAAUAUUGAAGAGAACAAGCAUGUUUUUAAGAGGACUCUCCCGGGCUGAGUUGGUGCCUUAUUCAACAUCUUGUAGUUUCAGUACUUUGCUCAGAACCAUGUGCCUAUCCACUUCGAAUUUCUCUAUUUGUUUCAUGUCUCCCAAAAAUGGACUAUGAAAUUUGAGGCUAUGAGCUAACUGUUGCUGUAAUGCAUAUUUAUGUAAACGGUUGAACAGAUGCUACCACUUCGAAUUUCUCUAUUUGUUUCA
Long non-coding RNA from Lolium perenne, 834 nucleotides. RefSeq lists it as uncharacterized. The record is from RefSeq and is a predicted model, not a curated record. NCBI's taxonomy places the organism in Eukaryota, Viridiplantae, Streptophyta, Magnoliopsida, Poales, Poaceae.